GCAUCCUUGGUGUAGUGGUAACACACUCCCUAUAUAUAUAUGUAUAUCAUUCACGUAUCUGGGAAGGUCCAGGGUUCAAAUUGCUGAGGAUGCA
Molecule: non-coding RNA, 94 nt
Organism: Mycena maculata
Lineage: Eukaryota; Fungi; Basidiomycota; Agaricomycetes; Agaricales; Mycenaceae
Source: the annotation of a GenBank genome assembly